Molecule: ribosomal RNA, 422 nt
Filed under: uncultured bacterium
Lineage: Bacteria
Description: bacterial SSU rRNA
Rfam family: Bacterial small subunit ribosomal RNA
Source: RNAcentral
ACGAACGCUGGUGGCGUGCUUAACACAUGCAAGUCGAGCGGUAAGGCCCUUUCGGGGGUACACGAGCGGCGAACGGGUGAGUAACACGUGGGUGACCUGCCCUUAGCUCUGGGAUAAGCCUGGGAAACUGGGUCUAAUACCGGAUAUGACUCCAUGACGCAUGUUGUGGGGUGGAAAGCCUUGUGCGGCUAGGGAUGGGCCCGCGGCCUAUCAGCUUGUUGGUGGGGUGAUGGCCUACCAAGGCGACGACGGGUAGCCGGCCUGAGAGGGCGACCGGCCACACUGGGACUGAGAUACGGCCCAGACUCCUACGGGAGGCAGCAGUGGGGAAUUGUUCGCAAUGGGCGCAAGCCUGACGACGCAACGCCGCGUGGAGGACGAAGAUCUUCGGGUCGUAAACUCCUGUCGAGUGGAAAGAAUAA